GUGCUGGGAAAACAUAAUGGCCCUUUUUCUUCGAGCUCCCUUUCCGUACUUUCCAAACCUUUCUAUGCACAUAAUGGAAAAUGCAAUAAAACUUUCAAUAGCAGCCACAAGGCACAAGUGAUCCAAAGGGUGCAUGGGACUGGCAGGCAGGAAGAAAGGGUGCAAGAGAAGCAGAUGCAGGAGGUAAGCAGAAGGGGAAACCAGAGGUGCAGGACUGGGGCCCAGGACCUACCUUUGACAUUGCUCAGGGACAGGGAACGCUCCUGGUCUGCCAGCCCAGGCCCCAGCCGGCCACUGCCACCACUGUCCUUCUGCCUGGCCACUGCCACGGCAAUGCCCACAGGCGGGUGCCGCACCUCAGCCUCCCCUUGGGCACCAGAGCCCUCGCGCACAAAGGUCUUGGCACUCUCUGGUCUCUCUGGGUCCCGCUUCAGCUGCCGGCCCCCACUCGAUGCAGGGCCACCCGGGUGUGGGAGUCGGGCCUGGGCACGCAGGGUACCCACAGAGGUGGGCGAGGGCUCUGGUUUCAUGGUGCCCAGACCCCCAAAGGGGCUCUUCUUGCCACAUCCGCCAGGACGCACGGCCACCGCCUCUCGAGCAAAGCUGCCACUGUACUUGAUGAGACUCUGCAUGGCCGAGGCCUCCCCAGGUAUGCCUUCUUGGAGGCAUCCUCUUCGGCGGUGCGGCUGGCAUGGUGGUGCUGCGCAGCAAGCACGGCCAUCUGCGUCGUGGCGAAGUUGCCCAGCUCGAAGGGCUUCCACUUGUGCUCUGGGCCUGGGGGAGCGGGGACACGCGUAGGCUCCAGGCUGAAGAGCUUGGUAGACUGCGGGGCCCCGCGGGGCGUACGCUCACACGCCCGCGGCUCGGCCUCCGGCUUGGGCAGCUCCUUGGGCGGCAGGUAGACUCGGGGAUCGGGGGAGGUGCGAGCGGCUCGGGCCGGGGCCGCAUCAGCAGGGGGCGGGCGCUUGAGCGAGCGGAUGACCGAGUUCUUCUCACGCAGGACCUCGGGGCGCUCGGGCCGCGGGGAUCCUGGGGGCGCCUGCAGCACCCCGGGCCGCCCCGCCUCGCGCUCGCGCGCCCGAGUGUCGCGCGCCUGCGACGCGAUCUGGAUGGGACCUGCACGCUCGUCGAAGGCCUCCACAGAAGGCACGAAGGUGGGCGCCACCACGCGGUGCUCGCGUCCCGGCUCGCGGAACACGGUGUAGACGCCAGCGGGUGCCGAGGAGGGGGGAGCGGGGGGCCCCUUUGGGGGCGGCGGGGGCAGCGGCGAGGGACAGGGUCGUGGCACCGGCAGCAGGGCCUCCGCGCGUCGCAGCAGUCGCACGCUCUCGUCCUGCCGGGUCGCCUCCUUGGGCCCCAGCCCUGCGUCGGCCGCGCCGUUGCACAUGCCCAGCGCGGACGCCUGCAGCACCCCCUUGCCCUUGGUCUCAGCCAGAAAGGGCGACAGGCGUUCGGGCAGACGCCCGGGUGCUCGGUCCGGGCGGCCCUCGGUCCGCGCCUCCUGGGUCAGGUCCACCACGCCGCGCCCAGCGGCCUCCUCGCGCACACGGGGGUCCUUCUUGCCGAACAGCGGGGGCUCUCCCCCGCGGCCUGCACGCUCCUUGGUUGUCCCCUCGCGCGAUGAUGCUGAGCCUUUGGCCGUCGCGCCCGAGUUGUGGCCGCUGGUGGUCCUGGAGGAGGGCGCGUGGGAGUGCAGGGUGCCCGGGGCCCCUGGGGCGGGCAGGUAGAAGCCGUCUGUGUAGAGAACCACAGUUAGCACGGCCCACAGCCCACCCGGGCCAGGGCG
RNAcentral lists this long non-coding RNA (1786 nucleotides) under Heterocephalus glaber (naked mole-rat). RNAcentral's name for it is "lncRNA (ENSHGLG00100043498.1)". The record is from RNAcentral. Lineage: Eukaryota; Metazoa; Chordata; Mammalia; Rodentia; Bathyergidae.